This is a long non-coding RNA of Dendroctonus ponderosae (mountain pine beetle), 466 nucleotides long. RefSeq lists it as uncharacterized. The record is from RefSeq and is a predicted model, not a curated record. NCBI's taxonomy places the organism in Eukaryota, Metazoa, Arthropoda, Insecta, Coleoptera, Curculionidae. The transcript is spliced from 3 exons.
CAAUGGCUCCCUUUAUGUAUACAGGAGACUCCACAAACUUGGAAAUCCUAAAAUUUACUGGGAAAUAAUUAUACUGUUUUUACACAUAUCGUUAUCGACUUUUAUUUCCUCGUUAAUGGAGCAUGUGAAAUAACAACAAGACAAUUGUUUGCUGUUUACCCGUAGAUGAGAUUCCCUGCUCGUAUAAACGAAAUACGGAAAGCGGAGGGAGAAUACAACAUCUCGAGUUGCUAGUGAAUCGUGGAGCUAAUUUACGGCCCGUCACCACUCGGAUGGACGAUCUUAGUAAGCGGAUUAGGGCCACUGUAAUGUUAGGAGUUUGGAAAUUCAGGCUUUAUUUUAUGCAAACAAGUAAUAUCCGCAAGAAGAUGCCCGUCAGAUUAAAUUAGUCCCAUAAUAUCUUAUCAUCAGCUUAAUUGAAUGUUACAAGUCAUUGAGGGUAUUGAAAAAUAUCUAAAUUGGAUGU